UUAGGUGUUUGAUCCAUGACGUUUCGUCGAAAAAUCACAAGCGCGCAUGCCGUAGGUGUUUGCCUGGUUGCAAGAUCUUGCCGAUUUCAACGUUUUUCCACCUCUUCGGUAAGUACUUGACAUGCCUGGAUUACUGCAAUCAGCACGUUCUUAGCACUUUCUUCUUUGGCUCCCCACCGCGCGCAGGUUGGCGUACGCUGAACUGGACCCUCGCAGCAAGAAUGGCACGUGGGAAUUGACACCGCGAUCGUGGAACACAUGGCUGAUCUGCCUCGAAUAGCUGCAAGCCGGCGCGUGCGUAGUGCCGUGGAGAACGAUCAGAAGUCCUGGACGACAAAGAAAAAAACUUCAAAGCUGCUUCUAGUAGUGGUGCCCCUGGUGUGCACCUUUACCCCAAAUGUCUGCACCUUUGCCUACCGCUGCCUCUGCGAGCCCU
Rhipicephalus sanguineus (brown dog tick) is the source of this 436-nucleotide long non-coding RNA. RefSeq lists it as uncharacterized. The transcript has 4 exons. Lineage: Eukaryota; Metazoa; Arthropoda; Arachnida; Ixodida; Ixodidae. The record is from RefSeq and is a predicted model, not a curated record.